GCCUAAGACCAUAGCACCCUGAACUAACCUAAUCUCAUCUGAUCUUGGAAACUAAGCAGGGUGAGGCUAGUCAGUAUGGCUCUCAGCAGUGCUUGUGUUGCAUUAAAAUGAUGGGGUUUUAUCCU
RNAcentral lists this ribosomal RNA (125 nucleotides) under Sorex araneus (European shrew). Lineage: Eukaryota; Metazoa; Chordata; Mammalia; Eulipotyphla; Soricidae. The record is from RNAcentral.